This 402-nucleotide RNase P RNA is filed under the name Burkholderiaceae bacterium. RNAcentral's name for it is "RNase P RNA component class A". It matches the Rfam family "Bacterial RNase P class A". Rfam says of the family: Ribonuclease P (RNase P) is a ubiquitous endoribonuclease, found in archaea, bacteria and eukarya as well as chloroplasts and mitochondria. The record is from RNAcentral. Lineage: Bacteria; Pseudomonadati; Pseudomonadota; Betaproteobacteria; Burkholderiales; Burkholderiaceae.
GGAGCGGGCCGGACGGUCGCCGGGUGCAAGCCUGGAGGAAGGUCCGGACUCCAUCGGGCAGGAUGCUGGCUAACGGCCAGGCGCAGCAAGCCGGCGCGAGCCGGCCCAAGGCGACGGAAAGUGGCACAGAAAACAUACCGCCUCCUCGGCGCAAGCCUUGGCGGCAAGGGUGAAAUGGCGAGGUAAGAGCUCACCGCGUUGCCGGUGACGGCAACGGCAGGCCAAACCCCAUCCGGAGCAACAUCGAAUAGGCACGCGUUGCCAGUCGUUCGCGGCUGGCGCAGGGCGCCCUCCCGAGCGUGCGGGUAGAUGGCUAGAGCCGUCGGGCAACCGGCGGCCCAGAGGAAUGACCGUCCCGCCGGCAACGGCGGACAGAAUCCGGCCUACAGGCCCGCUCCACUU